ACCCUAAUUAACUCCUCUUUACCCAACUGCUGAAAAAAUCCCCUUUCUCCCAGAUCUACUCUCAAACAUCAAUGGAGUUGCAGACUUGUUCGUUCAUAACAAUGAAAUUUGCAUCUUCUACCAUGUGGUUGCUAUCUGUUAGGAGGUCUUGCACAAGGCAAUGUAAUUUAUCCUCUUUACAAUCUCUUGGUUUUACAAUUUUCGAUAUUCUAGGUUUCGGGUUUAGGUUUUUCUUUGUGUAAUUUGCUGCUCAAGAACUUUUGAUAGAAAGAUUUUGUUUUUUGACGGCUUUCAACAUACGGAGAAGUUAAGGUUGUUCCGUUGUUUCCGAUUUAAUCUGAUUUGAAUUUUAUUUUGGCUUUUGAUUUCAGUAAAGUUAGGGUUUUUAAUAAUGAAUAUGUGUUCUCUUCUCUCAUGGAAACCUCUUUGUUUUAUUUUGAUAGCGUUUAACCGUAGACGAGAAACCUCCUUCACAUGACGACACUCUUUAAUCUGUAAGUUUAAACCUAACACUCUUAAGAUUUUUUUUAAAAUCUCACUAAUUACUUAAUGUAAUAUUUGGGUAUAUUUUCAUCAAGUUGGGGUUAUAUUUUGUGCAUUUAGAUAAUAAGAAUUGGGGUUGUAAUGUAGUAUUUUCUUGAAAUUUUGGAAGAAUAUUGCUUUGCUGAUUUCAGAUACAAGAUCAUUGAGGUGCCCUUCUUUUUUGAGAUAAUUUGUAACGAAAAGUGGAUUAUGUUUUGUUGUGUUGCUUAUUUCUCCUGUUUUUUCUUUGUUGUUCUCCUAACUGAGGUUGUAUGAAGUCUUGGAAACCCGACCCUUGGUUAGUUACUCCUAGUCGCUUCACAGGUACAAUAAUGCAUGUCUGCAUCUUCUAAACAACUUGCUCUAUGUCCUGGUGCGAAUAAACUUACAAUUGGAGUGCUGCUCCAUGUUCUGUAUGUUAGGCUCUUUUUAUCCAAAGGCACCUUCAACCAUUUGUGGCUCCAGUCUCAAAUCAAAACCUUGGGCUGUUUGAUGCCUUGGUUAAUGUCCUGCCACUAGUUGAGGAGACGAAGAGGCUCAACUGAAAAGAAUCGCUUAUCUUCAGGCAAAAAAUGAUGUUGUUGGAAAAGAAUUGCAGAAGUAACUGGAAGCUGCAGGCUGGCGGGUUACUGUCACACUGCCAAAAUAUUCUUGGACUGAUGUAGCUACCCACUAACUUGUGGUGUGCUGCCCUCUGCUGUUGUUGGUGGCCUUCUCCUUCUUACAUACGUAUACAACAGUUGUGGCUUCCCUUGGUGUGCUGCAAACUAUGAGGAAAUUUGGGCUCAUAAGAUAAUUUGCCACUGCUCAAAACUUUUCAAGAUUAUGUUCAAGUAUUCCUCUCUGAAUUGAAUAGAAAAUGUUCUGACAUAUAUGAGUUCUGCAUUUACUACCUAUGUUCUGGCGUAAAACUUGGAAACAACAAGUUCGAUCUGUUUGUCUAUCCGGUUCAGAAGUGUAUCAGAUGGAGGUACUUACUUGUAUGUGAGGUACCUGAUCGUGUGGAAGUGUAAAUUCGGGUAUCCUGGCUGCAUAAUAGGGAGAUGGAAAUUAUUGCAGCACGUUUCCAAUGGAGGUUAUUGUGACCGCUCAAAAUAAGCAAAAUAUUAGUUUACAAUGUCCAGUUAUUAGUUAGCAUGUCAAUUUUGAACAAAUCCGUGUAAGUCUCAUAAUUUUGUAAUUUAUACGUUAUAUUAUAUGAAUGAGUUACAACAUUCGGACCAUAUUUGGUUGGGUUUACCUUAUUUAACCUUUUAAUACAAUUUUGUAAGCUCAAUGUGGUUGUGAAG
This is a long non-coding RNA of Spinacia oleracea (spinach), 1811 nucleotides long. RefSeq lists it as uncharacterized. The record is from RefSeq and is a predicted model, not a curated record. Lineage: Eukaryota; Viridiplantae; Streptophyta; Magnoliopsida; Caryophyllales; Amaranthaceae. The transcript is spliced from 8 exons.